UGAUGAUGCAUUGUGGGCAUAUA
RNAcentral lists this non-coding RNA (23 nucleotides) under Arabidopsis thaliana (thale cress). Lineage: Eukaryota; Viridiplantae; Streptophyta; Magnoliopsida; Brassicales; Brassicaceae. The record is from RNAcentral.